GGGCUGCAGGGCUGCAGGGCUGCAGGGCUGGGGCGGGGAGGGGGCCCGCUAGAGACCACCCUGGAGAGAGAAAGACCAGCUCCUAGGGCCAGGGAAGAGAACUGCUGGGCCCUGCCGUGUCAGCUGAGAGGACCCUUGAAAGAGCAGCUGGUGUUUUAUAGAUGAGGAGCCUCAGUCCCAGAGAGAGGAAGUGCCUGUCACAGGAUCCCACUGCCGGUUCCUGGCCAUAUGGAGGCAGGAAGUUGUUUUCCUGAAUCCCCAGUGUCCUUCCCACCCCUUGAUCCCCUCCGAAGGACCCUGAGGUACAGAAUGGCUGAGCUGCGCCUCUUCUGUAGCUGCACCCACCACACACAGGGACCUGGGACCCAUCAGUGCCCCCAGCACUGAAGACCAGGCCUUUGGCUCCUACCAAGUACCUUCCUCGAAGACCCUGAGGGGCUGUUGCCUGGAGAGCAGAGUCCCCGGAGUCCACAAGCCUGGUGAGGCAGGCACCAGCACUGAUGCCAACAGCACAUCACUGGCCUCAGACACUUACGGCAGUGCUGCCACAGGAAAGACAGCCGCAAGGGAGGCUGUCCGGUGGCCUGCUCACUCUGAGGAUGCAGCCCAGCCUGGGCACUGCAGGAUAGAUGCAAGAGGAGAGAAGAUGCCAAGCUCCCAGGACCUCAAACACACCUCAGGGCCUUUGCACGUGCAGUUCCCUCCAUCAGUUCCCAUGCCUUCCCUGCUCCAUGCCAUCUAGAAAAUGGCUCCACAUCUUUCAAGUGUCAUGUCCAAUGCCCCCUUCCCUGUGAAGCCAGCCCCACCGUCCCGAGCCUCCGCAGU
Molecule: long non-coding RNA, 825 nt
Filed under: Equus caballus (horse)
Lineage: Eukaryota; Metazoa; Chordata; Mammalia; Perissodactyla; Equidae
Description: lncRNA (ENSECAG00000056686.1)
Source: RNAcentral